UCCAUACGUUUAAUGACCUCUUAAGUUUUUUAAAUAUAUAGUACACUCUCCACUGCUUAUGCUUGGGCUGCUACGAAUUCAAUAUGUUCCGGUUCAGAUGAUACAAGAUGUUCAAGGAAUAUUUAAAUACUUUGUUUUAAAUUGUUGUGUUGUUUGCCUUGAUCAAUUAGUGAUCAAAACAAUGUUCUUAUCAUUCGACUUCUCGGUUUGGGUUU
Long non-coding RNA from Arabidopsis thaliana (thale cress), 215 nucleotides. RefSeq annotates it as other RNA. Lineage: Eukaryota; Viridiplantae; Streptophyta; Magnoliopsida; Brassicales; Brassicaceae. The record is from RefSeq. The transcript has a single exon.